UCUCCGUAGGUGAACCUGCGGAGGGAUCAUUACAGAGUUCAUGCCCUACCGGGUAGAUCUCCCACCCUAUGUUAUUAUUACUUUGUUGCUUUGGCGGGCCGUUAGGCUCCGGCCCGACUACCGGCCCCGGCUGGUAAGCGCCCGCCAGAGGACCCAAAACCCUGAGUAUUAGUGUCGUCUGAGUACUAUAUAAUAGUUAAAACUUUCAACAACGGAUCUCUUGGUUCUG
RNAcentral lists this unclassified non-coding RNA (229 nucleotides) under plant metagenome. RNAcentral's name for it is "partial contains small subunit ribosomal RNA, internal transcribed spacer 1, and 5.8S ribosomal RNA". The record is from RNAcentral.